Oryza sativa Japonica Group (Japanese rice) is the source of this 202-nucleotide microRNA precursor. It matches the Rfam family "MIR812 microRNA precursor family". The record is from Rfam. Lineage: Eukaryota; Viridiplantae; Streptophyta; Magnoliopsida; Poales; Poaceae.
AAAAAAAAAACCCCUGGAUUUCUAUAUCCAACGUUUGACCUCUUAUUUAAAAAAAUUAUGAAAAAAAUUAAAAAGAUAAGCCACGCAUAAAGUAUUAACUAUAUUUUAUCAUCUAACAACAAUGAAAAUACUAAUUAUAAAAAAAUUUUAUAUAAGACGGACAGUCAAAUGUUGGACGCGGAAAUCCAGGGUUUGUCUUUUU